RNAcentral lists this transfer RNA (88 nucleotides) under Lentisphaerota bacterium. RNAcentral's name for it is "Lentisphaerae bacterium (aquatic metagenome) tRNA-Ser". It matches the Rfam family "tRNA". Rfam says of the family: Transfer RNA (tRNA) molecules are approximately 80 nucleotides in length. The record is from RNAcentral. Lineage: Bacteria; Pseudomonadati; Lentisphaerota.
GGAGGGAUGGCUGAGUGGACGAAAGCAUCGGUCUUGAAAACCGACGACCCGCAAGGGUCCGUGGGUUCGAAUCCCACUCCCUCCGCCA